This 104-nucleotide microRNA precursor is filed under the name Marmota monax (woodchuck). Lineage: Eukaryota; Metazoa; Chordata; Mammalia; Rodentia; Sciuridae. The record is from RNAcentral.
AGUGGAAUUGCUAGACCAUUUGGUAACUUGGUGUUUAAGUUUUUUAAGGAACUGCCAUACUAUUUGCCACAAUGGCCACCCCACAUUGCAUUCCCUCCAGCAAU